AAUUCGAUUGAGUUUGAUCAUGGCUCAGGAUGAACGCUAGCGGCAGGCUUAAUACAUGCAAGUCGAGGGGCAGCACAGGUAGCAAUACUGGGUGGCGACCGGCAAACGGGUGCGGAACACGUACGCAACCUUCCCGGAACAGGUGAAUAGCCCUGCGAAAGUAGGAUUAAUACACCGUAUGAUAUAGGGGUGGCAUCACUUAAAUAUCAAAGGUAGCAAUACCGGUUUUGGAUGGGCGUGCGCCUGAUUAGGUAGUUGGUGUGGGUAAUGGCCCACCAAGCCUUCGAUCAGUAACUGGUGUGAGAGCACGACCAGUCACACGGGCACUGAGACACGGGCCCGACUCCUACGGGAGGCAGCAGUAAGGAAUAUUGGUCAAUGGACGGAAGUCUGAACCAGCCAUGCCGCGUGAAGGAUGACUGCCCUCUGGGUUGUAAACUUCUUUUAUCUGGGACGAAAAAAGGGCUUUAUAGCUCACUUGACGGUACCAGAGGAAUAAGCACCGGCUAACUCCGUGCCAGCAGCCGCGGUAAUACGGAGGGUGCAAGCGUUAUCCGGAUUUACUGGGUUUAAAGGGUGCGUAGGUGGGCAGGAAAGUCAGUGGUGAAAUCUCCGGGCUUAACCCGGAAACCGCCAUUGAUACUAUUUGUCUUGAAUACUUUGGAGGUAAGCGGAAUAUGUCAUGUAGCGGUGAAAUGCUUAGAUAUGACAUAGAACACCAAUUGCGCAGGCAGCUUACUACACAGUAAUUGACACUGAGGC
This 762-nucleotide ribosomal RNA is filed under the name uncultured bacterium. RNAcentral's name for it is "bacterial SSU rRNA". It matches the Rfam family "Bacterial small subunit ribosomal RNA", at positions 1 to 752 of the family's 1533-position model. The record is from RNAcentral.